UACGAAGGGGGCUAGCGUUGUUCGGAAUUACUGGGCGUAAAGCGCACGUAGGCGGCAUUCCAAGUUGGAGGUGAAAUCCCCGGGCUUAACCUGGGAACUGCCUCCAAAACUGGGAAGCUCGAGUCCGAGAGAGGUGAGUGGAAUUUCCAGUGUAGAGGUGAAAUUCGUAGAUAUUGGAAAGAACACCAGUGGCGAAGGCGGCUCACUGGCUCGGUACUGACGCUGAGGAGCGACAGCGUGGGGAGCAAACAGG
RNAcentral lists this ribosomal RNA (253 nucleotides) under uncultured bacterium. RNAcentral's name for it is "partial 16S ribosomal RNA". It matches the Rfam family "Bacterial small subunit ribosomal RNA", at positions 524 to 776 of the family's 1533-position model. The record is from RNAcentral.